This 3221-nucleotide long non-coding RNA is filed under the name Equus caballus (horse). RNAcentral describes it as "lncRNA (ENSECAG00000058681.1)". The record is from RNAcentral. Lineage: Eukaryota; Metazoa; Chordata; Mammalia; Perissodactyla; Equidae.
AUCCUGUGUGCUCUGUCAACAUAUUUUUAUCUUGCCUAGCUUUGCAACAUCUGCACAUUGGACUAUCAUUCCAAUGAUGCUUUUAUUUGAGUCCUUGAUAAAGUUUUUGAACAUGCCAAAGGGUGAGAGGGUAGAAUAUGCCAUUUAUAAAUUCAAGUGAUAAAACUGCUUCACAAGUCAAUAUUUUGCCAUGAUGUUCAGAAAUAACAGAAGAAUCUUUUUUUCAAACAGCAUGUUGAAAUCUGGACAAACUAUGGCAUCGCCCAGGGACACUUUCCAAACGAAAGAAUGUGCUUCAUUUGACAAAAGCUGUUUUUGGACCCAGCACAGAGCCUGGCACACAGUAGCAGAUCAGCCAUACAGGAGUGGGAGUAGCAGCUAACAAUGACUGAGCACCUGACAGGCUCCAGGCUGAGUGCUCGGAAUAGACAGAAUCUUAUUGACACCCUUCAACAAUCCUAUGAAGCAGGCCCUGUUCUGAUCUCAUUACCUCUGCCCUUCCUGGUUCCUACUCCAUGAAAGAGCAUCGGAAGAUACCAACGUCAGAAAUGGCAAGUCCAGACACAGACCAAGUUCCGGGAUGCUUCUCCUGCUGCUCCUGUCAGCAUCUCCGCCACAGCCUCUUCCUGCUGCCCCAGGGACACGCCUGACUUUGAUGGACUGAAAGUAAUGCCCCAGCUUUACUGUGCCCUGGGCUGGGACUGCCACAGGGGCAAUGAGGUUUUCCUCCUGUGGUCGCCUUCCUGUUUACCUGACUGACUCAUGGGAGGUGACAGGCCAGCCUGGGGCUGGGAGUGGGGGCUGCCCCAGAUCUUACAGAAUGCCACGAGAGAGGAGCCUGCUCCUAAAUGGACUUAACUGGUCUGUUUUUUCAGAGCUCAGCAAUGUGGCCUGAUAAAGGACACAGUGAGGCCCCCAACAGGGCAGAAAGGAAAGGCAGGGAGAGAACCGUUUUUUGCCUAGAGCUCCAUCAUAUCGUAGAGAAAGAGUGCAUUCUCCUAGGGGAAUGCAAGGCACGCUCUGUCCUUGAGUUGCUAUUUCCCCAGAGAACAGGGGUGAGGCCAGACAAGCCAUGGAGGGUGGAGUGCCAGUUGUGUCAUCACAGGCUUGCAGCUCCCUGACCACGGCACCCACACCCACUUUCGGGAGCCCACGGCUGGGUGGCUGAAAGGGGAAUCCCUAGUGGGACCUUGCCUUGUCUUAGGCAAACUCAGGAAGGACACCUGGUGAGUGCGGGCCAUGUGUUCAGGGCGGAGCCAAGAAGGCAGAGAACAAUGUUUUUACUCAUGGGAUGAGCCCUCCCCCUUCUCCAUCCUCCCUGUUGUCCCCUCCAAACAGCCUCAUCUCAUUAAGCAAAGACCCCAGACUUUUCACUGAAGGGGGAAAGCUGGCUAUAGUCCCAAAGUGUGGCAACAUCUACCUUGCGGGCAGGAGUGGAGAAGGUAGGGAGCUUCCUGAGAACGCAGAAGCCCUCAGGCUCCAGCCCAGAAGCUGUGCCUGAGAUGCUCAAAGACGUGGAUCCCCCUUCAAUUCUUGGACGUGGCUUUGCUGGACUGGUUUGGGGCACUGGCCACACCACGCCUCUGCUUCAAGCACAGGGACUGGGUUUGGGGGUGCUGUGCCCGCUCUGACAGCAUUUCUGCCUCCAGCUCUCUCUCUGGCUUUGUGCUUGAUGCUCCUUUCUUGGUGUGAACUGGGUCCAGGAGAGAAGCCAAGGCCCUGCUAUCCAUGACCUCCUCACUCCCUGGUGGUUCCACACAUUCUGGAAAGUUCUAUUGGGGACUGACCAGGAGCAUCAACAAGAUGGACCACUGAUGUGAUUGGCCUGCCCCACCCAUGGGCCACUUCCAUCCUACCCAGAACAUCUCAGCACUGACUUGACUUUAAGAAAGCUCUGAUAACACGCUAAUGACCUUUCACUUAAUCAUCUAAUCCAUGCUCAGAGCCCAGAUCAAUUCCCACCUAUUUGAUGAUACCUUCCCUGUCAACUGCAACUUGCCACCGUCUUCUCCCUCCCCCUUACACAUUCACAGUAUCUAACAACCACCUCGCCUCUGGCUUCCUUCAUCACUUCCUGUGCAGCUCCAUUUGCCAUGCCUUCACAAGACCCUGCAAUAGGGGCUGGGGGGCAGAUGUAACAUGGUACUCCCAUCCCUCAGAGUUGCUUCCAAGGCAGUCGAGAAGAUGUAUAUGCAGAAACAAGCAUCUCACAUGGUUCCAUGAGAGAGAUCCAGAGAAAGCGUUAUGGGAGUAGAGAAGGAAAACACUGCAUUGACCCGAGGGGAGGCAACAGAGGGGACCUCACAGGACGCCUCUGGAAAAUGAUCUUCUGAAACACACAGGAUUUGGAUGUCAGGGCUCAGUUUAGGAAAAGACUUUCUGGUGGAAGAACAGAGUGCACAAAGACAUGGAGACAGGAAAUGGUGGAUGGCUAUGGGGGGAACCACCAGGACGGGUCCCAACCACCAACUAGCUCCUUCAAGCUGGCCUUGUCGGCACCUGGGCUUCCCUCCCGCCAGCUUUACUGUUUGGCAGCUUUCUGUCCAGGGCCAACUGUGGGCCGUGACUUAGGGAGGCUGCGGCCAACUGUGGGCCGUGACUUAGGGAGGCUGCACUUCUUGGGGAAUAAGUAGAAGCAACAAUUUGGGCACCUGUUGUUAAAACCCAAAGUCAGCCACCCGGCUCAGAUUUCCCACCCACGGGUAGCUGACUUGUAACCCCAGUCGACACCAGGAUGCCCUCCCUGGGCCUCCACUUCAUGAGGUGGUCCUGAAAAUACUGCCUGCCUGAGAGGUGAUGGAGCUGCCCACGAAGCACUCCUCAGCUGCCCCAUUUGCUUGUGCAGACUCCCCAGAGAGCCCUGCAGUUGGGUAAAGCUCAGCAUGUGGGGGUGGGUUGGGUCCGGGCUGUGCCUUGGGAGCAUGGAGGCUGUGUCCCAAAGGCAUUGCUUGUCUUUGCGACCCAACAGCCCUCUCCUGCCUGGAGACUGCCUGCUCAGCCUUCCCAGCUGAAGUUGUGUGCCAGGGGCUGGGGGCCCGGCCGUGCUAGGUUUUCCCAAUGGAUAAAGUCAACUUUGUAACCGAAGGGCUGACCUAGGAAUCUAAUCAUGCAAAUAAGAAUUUGGAUCGUCUACAUCAGAAUCACCUGGGAACUCCAAGGAACCUUCCAGGAGAUUCUGAAUCAGUGGCUCCAGGCGAGCCCUGCAAAUCUUUCUUUUUUUU